RNAcentral lists this long non-coding RNA (1338 nucleotides) under Aotus nancymaae (Ma's night monkey). RNAcentral's name for it is "lncRNA (ENSANAG00000039029.1)". Lineage: Eukaryota; Metazoa; Chordata; Mammalia; Primates; Aotidae. The record is from RNAcentral.
GGGUCCUACGGGGUAGGUGACUUGCUAAGUGCCUUCCUCUGAUCUCAGAGAGUUGAAAAUAUUUUUUCCAUCUGUCUCUGUGCACUUUCCAGAGGUCUGUGUUUACAAAUAGAGUGCAGAGUCUGAGAUACUGUUUAGUAUAAUUCCAAUUCUUUUAUGGCCUUAUUUAUGCCUUUCAGCAAUAUAGACCAGGACAGAAUCAUCACUGAAAGCUUCAUCUGUUUGGAAUCAAAAAUGUGAAAGACCUGGAAAUUAAAUCAAAAGAAUAGCAGAAUAAUCCUCCUCACUGACAAAUGGGGCUGCUCUAAUCAUCUUCACUGAAUGGUAACUUUCUCCUUUUCACCGAGUUUCUCAGGCUGUGAGAGAAACAACAUUUCACUCUGUGGCCCAGGCUGGAGUACGGUGGCACAAUCAGCUCGCUGCAGCCUUGAACUCCUAGGCUCAAGCAGUCCUUCCACCUCAACCUCCCAAGUAGCUGAGACUACAGGUGAGCGCCGUCUCAACCCUCAUCCAGCUAAUUUUAAAUUUUAUUUUAUUUUUUCUAUAUUUUAUAGAGAUGGGGUCUCUCUAUGUUGCCCAGUUUGGUCUCAAACUCCUAGCCUCAAGCCCAUUCUCUUGCCUUGGCCUGCUAAAUUGCUGGGGUUACAGGCCGGAACCACCAUGCCCAACUUGUUAGUGUCUUCAUUAAAACUUUCAAAUUUCAGAGAAAAAUAUAUUAAUCAAGUCUCAGAAUAUCAUCAAAAUUAUUAAGGCAAGCUGUCUUUCAAAUAAAUUCCAAGAAAUUUUUCAUUUAAACUGCUUUACUUUGUUUUCUUUGUAAACAUGUACAGCUUAAUUAGAGUGUGUUUGACUUAACAUCUGGAUAAAUGUUACAUUUUCGCAAAUUGGCCUAUAUGGACAAAAAAGAAAUCUGUUAUUAGUAUAUUACACAAUAACUAAGUCGUAUGUGGUUUUAAACAACAGCCAGGGGAAACAUACCUGUCAUAAAAGCAUUAUAUACAUUACUUCUACUGCUUGGCUAGCAGAUAUUCAGACACAAGGGUUAAAUAUUUUCAAGUAGUUUCUCAUGAGAACAGUUUCUCCUGAGAUAAAUAGAUAAAGGAAGAACUAAAUGGUGAAGAAAAAAUAGUAAUAAUUUUGUAAUAAACUUGUAAUUUUUGUAAAAAUUAGUAAUAAGUUUGUAUUUACUAUUUAUGACACUAAGUUUCUGUUUGCCGUUGAGUUCUAUUGAGGAUUUGAUGACAUUAAGGAAGCCAUUUGCUUAUGGAAUCACUCUCAUCCUUUCUCAUAUGCUCAUCUCCCAGGAGAGUUCUUCUUCUGAAGAUCUCUCAUCUACAG